This 253-nucleotide ribosomal RNA is filed under the name uncultured bacterium. RNAcentral describes it as "partial 16S ribosomal RNA". It matches the Rfam family "Bacterial small subunit ribosomal RNA", at positions 524 to 776 of the family's 1533-position model. The record is from RNAcentral.
UACGGGGGGGCAAGCGUUGUUCGGAAUUACUGGGCGUAAAGGGUCUGUAGGUGGCCAACUAAGUCAGACGUGAAAUCCCUCAGCUUAACUGGGGAACUGCGUCUGAGACUGGAUGGCUCGAGUGCAGGAGAGGAAUGCGGAAUUCCAGGUGUAGCGGUGAAAUGCGUAGAUAUCUGGAGGAACACCGGUGGCGAAGGCGGCAUCCUGGACCAAUUCUGACGCUGAGUGAGCGAAAGCCAGGGGAGCAAACGGG